GAUGAACGCUGGCGGCGUGCCUAAUACAUGCAAGUCGAGCGAACGGACGAGAAGCUUGCUUCUCUGAUGUUAGCGGCGGACGGGUGAGUAACACGUGGAUAACCUACCUAUAAGACUGGGAUAACUUCGGGAAACCGGAGCUAAUACCGGAUAAUAUUUUGAACCGCAUGGUUCAAAAGUGAAAGACGGUCUUGCUGUCACUUAUAGAUGGAUCCGCGCUGCAUUAGCUAGUUGGUAAGGUAACGGCUUACCAAGGCAACGAUGCAUAGCCGACCUGAGAGGGUGAUCGGCCACACUGGAACUGAGACACGGUCCAGACUCCUACGGGAGGCAGCAGUAGGGAAUCUUCCGCAAUGGGCGAAAGCCUGACGGAGCAACGCCGCGUGAGUGACGAAGGUCUUCGGAUCGUAAAACUCUGUUAUUAGGGAAGAACAUAUGUGUAAGUAACUGUGCACAUCUUGACGGUAUCUAAUCAGAAAGCCACGGCUAACUACGUG
This 497-nucleotide ribosomal RNA is filed under the name uncultured bacterium. RNAcentral describes it as "partial 16S ribosomal RNA". It matches the Rfam family "Bacterial small subunit ribosomal RNA", at positions 28 to 507 of the family's 1533-position model. The record is from RNAcentral.